RNAcentral lists this ribosomal RNA (253 nucleotides) under uncultured bacterium. RNAcentral describes it as "partial 16S ribosomal RNA". It matches the Rfam family "Bacterial small subunit ribosomal RNA", at positions 524 to 776 of the family's 1533-position model. The record is from RNAcentral.
UACGUAGGGUGCGAGCGUUAAUCGGAAUUACUGGGCGUAAAGCGUGCGCAGGCGGUUUUGCAAGCCGGAUGUGAAAUCCCCGGGCUUAACCUGGGAAUGGCAUUUGGGACUGCGAGGCUUGAGUGCGGCAGAGGAGACUGGAAUUCCUGGUGUAGCAGUGAAAUGCGUAGAUAUCAGGAGGAAUACCGAUGGCGAAGGCAGGUCUCUGGGCUGACACUGACGCUCAUGCACGAAAGCGUGGGGAGCAAACAGG